RNAcentral lists this ribosomal RNA (433 nucleotides) under uncultured bacterium. RNAcentral describes it as "partial 16S ribosomal RNA". It matches the Rfam family "Bacterial small subunit ribosomal RNA", at positions 29 to 507 of the family's 1533-position model. The record is from RNAcentral.
AACGAACGCUGGCGGCAUGCCUAACACAUGCAAGUCGAACGAGACCUUCGGGUCUAGUGGCGCACGGGUGCGUAACGCGUGGGAACCUGCCCUUAGGUUCGGAAUAACUCCCCGAAAGGGGUGCUAAUACCGGAUAAUGUCUUCGGACCAAAGAUUUAUCGCCUUUGGAUGGGCCCGCGUUGGAUUAGCUAGUUGGUAGGGUAAAAGCCUACCAAGGCGACGAUCCAUAGCUGGUCUGAGAGGAUGAUCAACCACACUGGGACUGAGACACGGCCCAGACUCCUACGGGAGGCAGCAGUGGGGAAUAUUGGACAAUGGGCGGAAGCCUGAUCCAGCAAUGCCGCGUGAGUGAUGAAGGCCUUAGGGUUGUAAAGCUCUUUUACCCGGGAUGAUAAUGACAGUACCGGGAGAAUAAGCGCCGGCUAACUCCGUG